UUCCUUCUUCUUCCUUACUUCGGUUCCAGUUUCUUCUUCCUCUCUAUUUCGGUUUUCUUCUUGAGUUCUAACCUCUCAAGAGCUCCUCUUCCUCCAGAAUUCCAACCGAAUCAAAGCUCCUUCUCCUUUAAAACCAUCAGCUCCUUCCUCUCUUCUUCCCAUUUGGAUUCGAGCAAAGGAGGAGAUUCGGAUCUAGGGUUUCGGCCAUUUGAGUUCUUCUUCCCCCUUUCAAGCUUCAAGAAUUCGAACAAGGCUAAAACUCCCCAAGCUCUUUAAAUCUUUCAUUCUCUCCUUCUUCAAAACCCCUCAACUCCCUCAAAUCUACGAGCAAGGCCGGCUAGGGUUUUGGAUUUGCUGAACUCUCCUUCGAGCACUUGCUGUGGUUCUCCCCUUUGAAUUCAGGGAAAUCCGAAAACCCUAGCUUUUCGAAUUUGGGCUUUUGGUGGAUUUUGUUUCAACGGGUCUCUCUUCCUCCUUGAUUCUUCUUCAAAUUCAGUUUAAGCCUUAUUUCUUGAGUUUGGGCAAAAUCCGAAUUUUGGUUGAAGCCGAAUUUUUGACUGUAUAUUGAUGACCUGAGUGUCAUUCUUGAGCUUGGUUUGACAUCAGGUGAAGUCCUCUUCUUGACUUUGGUCUGCUGAAACCUUUCGGCCUUAGGGCUUGGUUGAGUUGCUAAAGGUGUUGACAGGGGCUUUCGGUGAUUAGUUGUGCUAGUUGUUGAAACGGUCCCCAGAGUUCUAGGUGAUAGUAUUCCACUUGUCCUGGGCAAUGAUCCUGCUGAUUAUGAGCUCCGUGUAGCAGGUAGGGGUGUUCUUGGUGAAGCCUUCUUUGCACUAACUUGCUUUGGAACUUCCUUCUUUGGCAAUACUGGAGGAGAUGAAUUUCUCCGGGGUCUUUGAGAAUUAUUAGGUGAAUCCCGUUUUCAAAUAGCAGUUACCGAUUUUGAGGACGCUGCUGCUUUGCUAUGCUUCAGAUUUGAAGAGUGUCAUGCAAAAAAAAACGUGUUGUUAUGGGUUGUUGUUGAUGCACUUGCACAUGGCCGAAAAACUUGACUGUUCAUGGCCGAAACUUUGUUGAGAUUUUGGUUAACGACUUGAUGACUUAAAUCCAUAGUUCUCGAAUUUGUACAUAACCCGAAUCUUGAUCGAAUUUCUGUAUGGUUUGAACUUGUAUGUGACUCGAAUUCGAAUUUGCAUGUAGCCGAGCUCUUGCGUAUGAUUGAAUUCGAAUUUGUAGGAUUGAACUCGAAUUUGUGUGUGGUCGUAUGAUUUGCUUCCGAACUUGGCUUGUAGUCGAAUGACCCGAACUCAUACCUGUAUGUGGCUAAGAAUUGACUUGAACUCGAACUUGAUUAUUGGCCGAGAAUUUCUUGUAUGCUUCGAAUUCACUCCUAUAUAUGGCCGGAUCUUUGCACGAUUGAAUUCUUGCAUAUGCCUUGAACUCAAACUUUUGAAUUCAAACUUGUAUGUAGUCGAGAACUUUAUAUGCCUUGAAUUUGUACAUGUGGUUGAACUCUUGCAUAUGGUUGAACUUGUGAAUCCAUAUGUUGACAUGAUCGAGGCUUUAUAUUUGACUCGGUGACACUUAACUUGAACCGAGAAUGUCAUAUAGGUUUAAUUGGACCCUUAAUUGGAAAAUUCUAUUUUGUAGAAUUUCAAUUAAAGAUUCACAAUUUUCUUUUUGGUCUUUGAUUCAUGUAUCUUG
This is a long non-coding RNA of Asparagus officinalis (garden asparagus), 1701 nucleotides long. RefSeq lists it as uncharacterized. NCBI's taxonomy places the organism in Eukaryota, Viridiplantae, Streptophyta, Magnoliopsida, Asparagales, Asparagaceae. The transcript has 3 exons. The record is from RefSeq and is a predicted model, not a curated record.